This is a non-coding RNA of Cygnus atratus (black swan), 74 nucleotides long. Lineage: Eukaryota; Metazoa; Chordata; Aves; Anseriformes; Anatidae. The record is from the annotation of a RefSeq genome assembly.
GCUGAAGUAGCUCAUCUGGGAGAGCAUUAGACUGAAGAUCUUAAAGGCCCCUGGUUCAAGCCCAGGCUUCAGCA